This 765-nucleotide non-coding RNA is filed under the name Cryptophyllium tibetense. Lineage: Eukaryota; Metazoa; Arthropoda; Insecta; Phasmatodea; Phylliidae. The record is from RNAcentral.
UUUAAUUAUGUUCCUAUUGUUUGAUUUUGGCUUAUUUGGUUAAUUGUAAGAAUUAUUUAUAUGUGAGUUUUUUAUUAUUUAUGUUUAUCAAUUUGUUUUGCAGUAUUUAAUUUUAAAUUUUAAAUUAAUUUGGAUUUAGGAAUUUUUUUUAAUAUCGUAUAUUUUUGUGCCAGCAUACGCGGUUAUACAAUUGAUGUUAAUUAAUUAUUUUGGUUUAUUGAAGUUAAUUUUUAUUUUGAGGUUAUUUUAUUUAUUUUUAAGUGGAAUUUAAAUUUUAUUUAUUCUUUUUUUAGUUUCUUUUUGAAUUUAUAUAUUAAACUAGGAUUAGAUACCCUAUUAUUUUAUUUGUUAAUUUUACCUGGGUAGUAUUAGUUAUUUUCUUUAAACCUAAAGAAUUUGGCGGUAUUUUAGUCCUUUCAGAGGAACCUGUCCCUUAAUCGAUAGUCCUCGUUUUAUCUUUCUUUGUUUUGUUUAGUAUGUAUAUCGCCGUUAUAAGUUUAUUUUAUUAGGUCUAAUUUACUUUAAUUUUUAUUUUGAUUUAUUUCAGGUCAAGGUGCAGCUUAUAGUGAAGUGGUGGUUGGUUACAAUAUUAUUUUAAUAAACGUAUUUUGUUUUUAUAAUUCGAAUAAAGGUGGAUUUGAUAGUAAUUUUGAUUAUAGAGUUAUUUUGAUUUUGGCUCUAAAAUAAGUACAUAUUGCCCGUCAUUCUCAUUUAUUUGAGACAAGUCGUAACAUAGUAGGUGUACUGGAAGGUGUACCUGGUUUU